RNAcentral lists this transfer RNA (74 nucleotides) under Candidatus Kaiserbacteria bacterium RIFCSPHIGHO2_01_FULL_50_13. RNAcentral's name for it is "tRNA-Met". It matches the Rfam family "tRNA". From Rfam's summary of the family: Transfer RNA (tRNA) molecules are approximately 80 nucleotides in length. Their secondary structure includes four short double-helical elements and three loops (D, anti-codon, and T loops). RNAcentral also lists the same sequence under 2 other names. Lineage: Bacteria; Candidatus Kaiseribacteriota. The record is from RNAcentral.
GCCGGCGUAGCUCAGGUAGUUAGAGCGUGACACUCAUAAAGUCAAGGUCCCAGGUGCAAAUCCUGGCGUCGGCA